Molecule: transfer RNA, 85 nt
Filed under: Chitinilyticum piscinae
Lineage: Bacteria; Pseudomonadati; Pseudomonadota; Betaproteobacteria; Neisseriales; Chitinibacteraceae
Description: tRNA-Leu
Rfam family: tRNA
About the family: Transfer RNA (tRNA) molecules are approximately 80 nucleotides in length. Their secondary structure includes four short double-helical elements and three loops (D, anti-codon, and T loops).
Source: RNAcentral
GCGCGGGUGGCGAAAUUGGUAGACGCACUGGAUUUAGGUUCCAGCGCCGCAAGGUGUGGGGGUUCGAGUCCCCCCUCGCGCACCA